UUUGAUCUAAUGUAUGGAGACUA
Molecule: microRNA, 23 nt
Filed under: Gossypium raimondii (Peruvian cotton)
Lineage: Eukaryota; Viridiplantae; Streptophyta; Magnoliopsida; Malvales; Malvaceae
Description: gra-miR7484l
Source: miRBase by way of RNAcentral